GGCUGGUUGGGCAAAUUUCACUGAAUCGAAAAUUCCGAAUUGCGGACGUCCGUCACCAGCAUAUGGCCCGGUGCAUGAGUGAUCGCGAAGUCAGGCCGCGAUUGCAGAAUGACCGAUUGCGGCGUCACUCCGCACGCCNGGCACCUCGUCGGGCUGAAUGCUCACUGCGUCGCCAUAGUCAGGCUUGGAAAUAUCCUUGAUGCCGAUCAUCUCCGGCUUGUCGAAAUGCACCGGCGCACCGUGCACAGCCGGGAAACGCGUGGUGAUCUGAAUCGCGCGGAUCGCUUCCGCAGGCUUGAACGGCCGCAUCGAGACGACCAG
Molecule: unclassified non-coding RNA, 321 nt
Filed under: Hevea brasiliensis (rubber tree)
Lineage: Eukaryota; Viridiplantae; Streptophyta; Magnoliopsida; Malpighiales; Euphorbiaceae
Source: RNAcentral